AAAUUGAAGAGUUUGAUCAUGGCUCAGAUUGAACGCUGGCGGCAGGCCUAACACAUGCAAGUCGAGCGGUAGCACAGAGAGCUUGCUCUCGGGUGACGAGCGGCGGACGGGUGAGUAAUGUCUGGGAAACUGCCUGAUGGAGGGGGAUAACUACUGGAAACGGUAGCUAAUACCGCAUAACGUCGCAAGACCAAAGUGGGGGACCUUCGGGCCUCAUGCCAUCAGAUGUGCCCAGAUGGGAUUAGCUAGUAGGUGGGGUAACGGCUCACCUAGGCGACGAUCCCUAGCUGGUCUGAGAGGAUGACCAGCCACACUGGAACUGAGACACGGUCCAGACUCCUACGGGAGGCAGCAGUGGGGAAUAUUGCACAAUGGGCGCAAGCCUGAUGCAGCCAUGCCGCGUGUAUGAAGAAGGCCUUCGGGUUGUAAAGUACUUUCAGCGGGGAGGAAGGCGAUAAGGUUAAUAACCUUGUCGAUUGACGUUACCCGCAGAAGAAGCACCGGCUAACUCCGUGCCAGCAGCCGCGGUAAUACGGAGGGUGCAAGCGUUAAUCGGAAUUACUGGGCGUAAAGCGCACGCAGGCGGUCUGUCAAGUCGGAUGUGAAAUCCCCGGGCUCAACCUGGGAACUGCAUUCGAAACUGGCAGGCUAGAGUCUUGUAGAGGGGGGUAGAAUUCCAGGUGUAGCGGUGAAAUGCGUAGAGAUCUGGAGGAAUACCGGUGGCGAAGGCGGCCCCCUGGACAAAGACUGACGCUCAGGUGCGAAAGCGUGGGGAGCAAACAGGAUUAGAUACCCUGGUAGUCCACGCCGUAAACGAUGUCGAUUUGGAGGUUGUGCCCUUGAGGCGUGGCUUCCGGAGCUAACGCGUUAAAUCGACCGCCUGGGGAGUACGGCCGCAAGGUUAAAACUCAAAUGAAUUGACGGGGGCCCGCACAAGCGGUGGAGCAUGUGGUUUAAUUCGAUGCAACGCGAAGAACCUUACCUGGUCUUGACAUCCACAGAACUUAGCAGAGAUGCUUUGGUGCCUUCGGGAACUGUGAGACAGGUGCUGCAUGGCUGUCGUCAGCUCGUGUUGUGAAAUGUUGGGUUAAGUCCCGCAACGAGCGCAACCCUUAUCCUUUGUUGCCAGCGGUUCGGCCGGGAACUCAAAGGAGACUGCCAGUGAUAAACUGGAGGAAGGUGGGGAUGACGUCAAGUCAUCAUGGCCCUUACGACCAGGGCUACACACGUGCUACAAUGGCGCAUACAAAGAGAAGCGACCUCGCGAGAGCAAGCGGACCUCAUAAAGUGCGUCGUAGUCCGGAUUGGAGUCUGCAACUCGACUCCAUGAAGUCGGAAUCGCUAGUAAUCGUAGAUCAGAAUGCUACGGUGAAUACGUUCCCGGGCCUUGUACACACCGCCCGUCACACCAUGGGAGUGGGUUGCAAAAGAAGUAGGUAGCUUAACCUUCGGGAGGGCGCUUACCACUUUGUGAUUCAUGACUGGGGUGAAGUCGUAACAAGGUAACCGUAGGGGAACCUGCGGUUGGAUCACCUCCUUA
This 1540-nucleotide ribosomal RNA is filed under the name Klebsiella quasipneumoniae subsp. similipneumoniae. RNAcentral's name for it is "bacterial SSU rRNA". It matches the Rfam family "Bacterial small subunit ribosomal RNA". The record is from RNAcentral. RNAcentral also lists the same sequence under 1 other name. Lineage: Bacteria; Pseudomonadati; Pseudomonadota; Gammaproteobacteria; Enterobacterales; Enterobacteriaceae.